Cavia porcellus (domestic guinea pig) is the source of this 281-nucleotide unclassified non-coding RNA. Its record names the gene 7SK. It matches the Rfam family "7SK RNA". From Rfam's summary of the family: 7SK was discovered as an abundant small nuclear RNA in the mid-70s but a possible function has only recently been suggested. Two independent studies have found that 7SK RNA binds the CDK9/cyclin T complex (known as elongation factor P-TEFb). P-TEFb activates transcription by phosphorylating the C-terminal domain of RNA polymerase II. NCBI's taxonomy places the organism in Eukaryota, Metazoa, Chordata, Mammalia, Rodentia, Caviidae. The record is from Ensembl.
GGAUGUGAGGGAGAUCUGGCUGUGACACCUGUCACCCCAUUGAUCGCCAGGGUUGACUCAGCUGAUCAGGCUGGUGAGGUGAGUGUCCCCCUGCUCUGCACCACUCCAUGUCCUGAAGCCAUGUGCUUGGUCCAAGGGCAUAACCACCCUGGAUAGAGGAGGACUGUUUUCUUGAUCAAGGGAAUACAGUUAGCUGUGCUUCCCUGCUAGAACCUCCAAAUAAGCUCUCAAAUACAGGGCUACAGUUUUUUAAAAAGCAUCCAACAAAUCCUUAAUCAGUU